Sinocyclocheilus grahami is the source of this 96-nucleotide long non-coding RNA. RefSeq lists it as uncharacterized. The transcript is spliced from 3 exons. The record is from RefSeq and is a predicted model, not a curated record. Lineage: Eukaryota; Metazoa; Chordata; Actinopteri; Cypriniformes; Cyprinidae.
CUGACUGUAACUCCUUUUGUAAGGGUUCCAGACAGGGCAGGAAGCAGGUGGUCAAAAAGUCAUGUGGCGUCACACUGUAUAUCCCGUGCUGGCAGG